GUCCAAUUAAAAGUCCAAAAUAAUCAGCUAAACACGUUUCACUCUAUGAGCUUCCUCAGUAGCUGUUUAGUAGCCUCAGGAAUCCUUCUUCUUUUUAAAUGUUCAGAAGUUCUUUUGGGUCCUCCUCUUGGAGUCACAUGGUGUGUAAUUAAUUAAUGUGUUGAGAAAAAAACAUCUGUGGUGGAAAAAUUCUCAUUUGCUGACAACAUUGUCAAUCAUCAAUAAUGUUUAGUUACAUCAUGUUUAUUGGCAGUAACACAAUUUGCAUAACCAAUCAUAUGUAUGGUUGGCGGAAGUGGCAACACUGAAUGAUUUUGCCAACCACCUCCGUCCUCCAUUAUUCACAAGGAUACAUUAAAAACAAU
Molecule: non-coding RNA, 365 nt
Organism: Pelobates cultripes (western spadefoot toad)
Lineage: Eukaryota; Metazoa; Chordata; Amphibia; Anura; Pelobatidae
Source: the annotation of a GenBank genome assembly